CAUUUAUGAAAUCAGCUAUUUGGUCUUUGGAAAUUGAGUGGGGUUUCCCCCUAUACCUCAAAUCAGCUAUGCAUCCACAGCCCCAGAGCUAAGUGAUAACACCAGGUAUGACUUUUUCUCUCGAGUGGUUCCGCCUGACUCCUACCAAGCCCAAGCCAUGGUGGACAUCGUGACAGCACUGGGAUGGAAUUAUGUGUCAACAUUGGCUUCUGAGGGGAACUAUGGUGAGAGCGGUGUGGAGGCCUUCACUCAGAUCUCGAGGGAGAUUGGUGGUGUUUGCAUUGCUCAGUCACAGAAAAUCCCACGUGAACCAAGACCUGGAGAAUUUGAAAAAAUUAUCAAACGCCUGCUAGAAACACCUAAUGCUCGAGCAGUGAUUAUGUUUGCCAAUGAGGAUGACAUCAGGAGGAUAUUGGAAGCAGCAAAAAAACUAAACCAAAGUGGGCAUUUUCUCUGGAUUGGCUCAGAUAGUUGGGGAUCCAAAAUAGCACCUGUCUAUCAGCAAGAGGAGAUUGCAGAAGGGGCUGUGACAAUUUUGCCCAAACGAGCAUCAAUUGAUGGAUUUGAUCGAUACUUUAGAAGCCGAACUCUUGCCAAUAAUCGAAGAAAUGUGUGGUUCGCAGAAUUUUGGGAGGAGAACUUUGGCUGCAAGUUAGGGUCACACGGGAAAAGGAACAGUCAUAUAAAGAAAUGCACAGGGCUGGAGCGAAUUGCUCGGGAUUCAUCUUAUGAACAGGAAGGGAAGGUCCAAUUUGUAAUUGAUGCAGUAUAUUCCAUGGCUUAUGCCCUGCACAAUAUGCACAAAGAUCUCUGCCCUGGAUACAUUGGCCUUUGUCCACGCAU
This 843-nucleotide small RNA is filed under the name Pongo abelii (Sumatran orangutan). RNAcentral describes it as "processed transcript". Lineage: Eukaryota; Metazoa; Chordata; Mammalia; Primates; Hominidae. The record is from RNAcentral.